RNAcentral lists this long non-coding RNA (796 nucleotides) under Glycine max (soybean). Its description in RNAcentral is "long non-coding RNA (GMAX_LNC003021)". Lineage: Eukaryota; Viridiplantae; Streptophyta; Magnoliopsida; Fabales; Fabaceae. The record is from RNAcentral.
GAUCCGUGAACUAUUAAUAUGUUGUGUCAUAUUGAAUUAGAUGGGACACAUAAACAUUGCUAUGUCUAAUGACAUGACCGUCAUUAAUUAACAAAUUAAAAAGUAUUUUUAUAUAUUUUUUUGUUCUCUUUCCGAAUCACCAUUCAUUAUUUUCCUUUCUUCUAUUCCGCUUGUCUCCUACGCAGAUGCUCGAAACAGAUCUGCAAAUAGAAAUUGGCCAAUACACCGUUUGGCUUUUGCGGCGACGUCGAUAUGUUUGAAGGCUGUAAUAAGGGAAGCCGAUGACUGAAAUUUCAAUGGGCACUGCCGAAAAAAGUGAAUGUGGCUUUAGCUCGAAUUAGUGUUGGGACUAAAGUGGGUCUUGUUCUUCUCCAUCAGAAUCGAAGAGAUCUGGAGGCAGGCGUUUCGAUUUUGCUUUUUUGUUGCAUUUUGAGAUGUUGGUUUUUGUUGACAAGUUUGGGAGGAGGAAGAUGAAGGGGGUUGUAUUAUUUUUCAAUUUCAGAUUCGGCGUAAGUUAUUUUCAUAUCUGAUUCUGUUGCAAUUGAAGGAGAACAUAUUGAACACCGAGAUACUAUUGUGGGAGCACACUGCAGCAAAAAAAAAAGUUAUAUAUAAUUUUUAAUUUAUUAAUCAUGGGAGCCAUUUCAACACGCACAUCAUCAAGGUCGCUCAUUUAAUCCAACAUCAUAAUUAGUCGGCUGAUGUAUCAAACUAACGGACAAAUCAACAAUUAAUGGACCCGCUAAUAACAAUGAUGUAAACAAAAAGUUUUCAUACAUCAGGAAACAAAAACAAA